GAUGGACGCUGGCGGCGUGCCUAAUACAUGCAAGUCGAGCGAACGGACGAGAAGCUUGCUUCUCUGAUGUUAGCGGCGGACGGGUGAGUAACACGUGGAUAACCUACCUAUAAGACUGGGAUAACUUCGGGAAACCGGAGCUAAUACCGGAUAAUAUUUUGAACCGCAUGGUUCAAAAGUGAAAGACGGUCUUGCUGUCACUUAUAGAUGGAUCCGCGCUGCAUUAGCUAGUUGGUAAGGUAACGGCUUACCAAGGCAACGAUGCAUAGCCGACCUGAGAGGGUGAUCGGCCACACUGGAACUGAGACACGGUCCAGACUCCUACGGGAGGCAGCAGUAGGGAAUCAUCCGCAAAGGGCGAAAGCCUGACGGAGCAACGCCGCGUGAGUGAUGAAGGUCUUCGGAUCGUAAAACUCUGUUAUUAGGGAAGAACAUAUGUGUAAGUAACUGUGCACAUCUUGACGGUACCUAAUCAGAAAGCCACGGCUAACUACGUG
This 497-nucleotide ribosomal RNA is filed under the name uncultured bacterium. Its description in RNAcentral is "partial 16S ribosomal RNA". It matches the Rfam family "Bacterial small subunit ribosomal RNA", at positions 28 to 507 of the family's 1533-position model. The record is from RNAcentral.